This 71-nucleotide transfer RNA is filed under the name Marmota monax (woodchuck). RNAcentral describes it as "tRNA.Undet". The record is from RNAcentral. Lineage: Eukaryota; Metazoa; Chordata; Mammalia; Rodentia; Sciuridae.
ACAUGUAGCUCAGUAGUAGAGCACUUGCCUAGCAUACUCCAGGCCCUGAGUUCGAUCCUCAGAACCAUGAG